GCAUGUUAAGGCAAUCUGGCUGUGACAGCUGUCACCGCAGUGAUCUUCAAGGUUGAUCCAGCUGAUCGCUGGCCAGGCCAGUGUCAUUUUCCUCCCUUGCUGCUCUGAGAGUCCCUCCUGAGGGUGGAGAAGGGGGUGGUCAGGAGGGUAGAGCAGCUGAGCUCCCCUGCUACAUUCUCCAAACAAGCUCUCAGAAAAGGAGUGGAAGCAAAGGGGACAACAGAAAGAAUUAUGGGGCUGGGGAGAUAGCUCAAAGGUUUAAGCACUUGCUGGGCAAGUGCAAUGA
RNAcentral lists this small nuclear RNA (286 nucleotides) under Octodon degus (degu). RNAcentral describes it as "7SK RNA (ENSODEG00000022511.1)". It matches the Rfam family "7SK RNA". From Rfam's summary of the family: 7SK was discovered as an abundant small nuclear RNA in the mid-70s but a possible function has only recently been suggested. Lineage: Eukaryota; Metazoa; Chordata; Mammalia; Rodentia; Octodontidae. The record is from Rfam by way of RNAcentral.